This 422-nucleotide ribosomal RNA is filed under the name uncultured archaeon. Its description in RNAcentral is "partial 16S ribosomal RNA". It matches the Rfam family "Archaeal small subunit ribosomal RNA", at positions 323 to 746 of the family's 1478-position model. The record is from RNAcentral.
CUACGGGGUGCUCCAGGCGAGAAAACUUUGCAAUGUGCGAAAGCACGACAAGGUUAAUCCGAGUGGUUUCUGCUAAAGGAACCUUUUGUCGGUCCUAGAAACACCGAUGAAUAAGGGGUGGGCAAGUUCUGGUGUCAGCCGCCGCGGUAAAACCAGCACCUCAAGUGGUCAGGAUGAUUAUUGGGCCUAAAGCAUCCGUAGCCGGCUCUGUAAGUUUUCGGUUAAAUCUGUAUGCUCAACAUACAGGCUGCCGGGAAUACUGCAUAGCUAGGGAGUGGGAGAGGUAGACGGUACUCGGUAGGAAGGGGUAAAAUCCUUUGAUCUAUUGAUGACCACCUGUGGCGAAGGCGGUCUACCAGAACACGUCCGACGGUGAGGGAUGAAAGCUGGGGGAGCAAACCGGAUUAGAUACCCUUGUAGUC